This 1249-nucleotide long non-coding RNA is filed under the name Ornithorhynchus anatinus (platypus). RNAcentral describes it as "lncRNA (ENSOANG00000043578.1)". The record is from RNAcentral. Lineage: Eukaryota; Metazoa; Chordata; Mammalia; Monotremata; Ornithorhynchidae.
AGCGGCGGUAAACUCCUUUGUGGCGAGACAAAGACGGGGACAGAGAGUUUCCCGGAAUUUCUGCAGAGUCCCUGGCCCGGCUGGGGCAAUGAGGUGGUGGGCUUUUCCUGGGGGGGGAACCUGCCUUGCCCCCGCAAGUGGCUAAGUCCAGCAGGCCACAGACAGGAUUUCCUCACCCUCAAGGACCCCGGGACUGGUAGCCAGGACAGGGAACACUGGGAAAAGACCCAGAGACUGAGGGAAGGAGGGGAUCCACAGUCAGUGAAGUACGAGGCUUCCUUCACCGCUGAAGGUGAACCAUCCGUCCCCUUGCCUGCUGUCACGGGACCGUGAGCUCUGUCCUGCUCAACUCCAAGGGCAGAAGAACACCCAGGGCACCAAGCCCUGGCUUGCUCAGCUCCGCAGGUGGGACAGCGCCCAGGGCACCAUGGGCAGGAGAAAGAAUCCGAGCCCUGCCCUGCUCCGCUCCAUGGGCAGGAGAGAGGUCAGGGCACCGCAAGCAGGAACGUGCUGUCCAGAGCAGCAGCAGUUCUGGAUUCAGAACUAUACUCCUAUGGGCUACUGUUCCCCAGAGCCAACACACCUCACCUCUUCCACUACUCUGAACGCUCCUUGCGGGUGGGAAGCCCCGAUGAGGCUCUCACCCUUCUCCAAAUGUCCAGCCCUGGCUUCCUCCCAGUAGCACCCACGGCUGGACCCGGGCCCCGACUCUCCCCCCCCCGACCCCAGCGGCCCAACACUGACCACUCCCACUGCUCGUGCUGCCACCGCUCCGAGAGCUGCUGAUCGAAGAGCCGCUGGGCGUCCUCAGCCGCACGGGCCCCGCCGGGGGCAGCUGCAAUCUGGGCACGGCUCCUGUCACCGGGCAGACCUUCUUGGCGACGGGCCUCCUGCGUGGAGACGCGGGAUCUUCCCCUGUGCCGGAGGGGAGGCAGCGUUUCAGAAACGAUGCCCUCCCACACGCCACUGCCGGAUUUCCUGGAGGCAGUGGGAGGCUGUUCCCUUGGAGGAGACGUGGCUGGGUUGGGACGGACGUUUCUGCCAUUGCCGUUCUGGUGUGGAGAGAGUGAGGAGUUCCCGCCGGCGGCUGGGAGGACCGGAACCUCGCCACAACUCAGAGGGCUGGUCUGGGAAGGGGGGCUGUGGCCCAACGGGGUCUUGGCGGCACCUCCAGAGACCUGUGCAGACACAACACGAUCCACAUUGUCCACCAUGAGGCUGGACCUAGAUCCGGCCCAUGCCAUCAACC